RNAcentral lists this antisense RNA (75 nucleotides) under Streptomyces sp. CB00316. Its description in RNAcentral is "ASpks sRNA". It matches the Rfam family "ASpks TB sRNA". The record is from RNAcentral. RNAcentral also lists the same sequence under 1 other name. Lineage: Bacteria; Bacillati; Actinomycetota; Actinomycetes; Kitasatosporales; Streptomycetaceae.
CUUCAGCGACCCGAGCAGCAGCGGUUGGCCUUCGGGCCGUUCCUUGCCGUAGGUCGCGAGCAGGGCGCGGGCUUC